RNAcentral lists this long non-coding RNA (636 nucleotides) under Mytilus galloprovincialis (Mediterranean mussel). The record is from RNAcentral. Lineage: Eukaryota; Metazoa; Mollusca; Bivalvia; Mytilida; Mytilidae.
AGUAUAAAACAGAAUUGUACCAGUAAUAUAUGAUACUGAUUAUACACAUCAACAGAUUAGAAAAAUAUAAUUAUAUAAUUCAUUGUAAAUAUAUCAAAAAAACUAUUUGCAGAUAAGUUAUUCAUAAUAUAUAUAUGUAAGCACAUAAUUAACAUCUAAAUAAACAAUUUAUACAAAAAAAACAAUAACAAAUAACAAAGAUGUUUAUAUAAAAAUUUGCAUAUCACUAAACCAGGAUAAGAGAAUAAAAAUUGUAUACAAGUUUCUAGGAUAAUAUAUAUAUUAUGUAUGUAUUCUUAAAUGUAAAUUUUGAUUACGUACUUGGAAUGUUUUAGAUAGAAUUUGUGUAUUUUGAUUGCUUUUUAAAAAGUUCUUUAAGGAUUCAAGGAAAAUAUAAAGUUCUGUUAACCCUACUGUACAUGUCACCUUUAUAUAUAUACAAUAACAACCUUUUCAUAAUGAGGUUAAAAAUUUAAAAUAAUGUAUUGUAUAAACAUUGGUUUUAACCAAAAAAGAGCACCAUAGCUAUCUUAGACUAAUUUGCUACUAGAGAUUGGCAAUUUCAUUUUAAUGACUGUAUAAUACAUCACAAUAUAUUAUACCAGUGUCUAAAUAUUUUCCAAACAAGUUUUUUUU